This 811-nucleotide long non-coding RNA is filed under the name Pongo abelii (Sumatran orangutan). RNAcentral describes it as "lincRNA". The record is from RNAcentral. Lineage: Eukaryota; Metazoa; Chordata; Mammalia; Primates; Hominidae.
CUGAAUCUGGCAGCCACCGUGUUUGUCAGACCUGCCUGCCUUGUUCAGCAGGGAAACCACUUGCUAUGAUGAAUGGAGCUGCAUGCGAAACUUAGAUAAGCAGGCAGGUCGAAAACACCUCCCGUGCCAGCAUUCCAGUUUUCUUGCUUGGCCCAAGAACCUGGUUUCAUUUUGGAAAGGUGGAGGGAGUGUGGGGCGACCUUGUUGCCAUUUUCAGGCAUGGCUGGGCUCUCACACAGUCACUCUUAGAACAGACAUGUCCCUGCCUGGAGGCCAGGCCCUCUUGGAUUCUGGGAACCAAGCCCAAAAAUGUCAAACAAGUGGCAAAACCUUUAGGACACAGACACAGGAAGCAUCAACUCAGAGGCUUCGGCCAGGAUGUGAGCCUGACUUUCGCAGCCCCAACUGGCAGGCUGACCUCAUUUGAACUCCCUGGCGGUGGCAUCCUGGAGACACCCACAUAGCUGAGCUGGCACCGUAGGCACUCAUAAUCCAGGUUCAGUUUCUGCCAGCACUGAUUUGGUUUAUUCCACAUGGCUUGGGCCACUGCGGGACUCCGUUUGUUCCAGGGCCACCUUCCUGUCACCUUUUACUGUUUCUUGAGUCAGCAAGAAAGGCAGAUCCGACUGAAGACUCCAGCACUCUCCUCAGCUGCAGCCCCCACAAAGCUCCGUGAAGUCCUUUCCCCCACAGGACAGAUCUGAGGCACCCACCGUUAGAAGAAAAGAGUAGAGAAAUGAUAUGCAGGAAGAAGGCCCAUUCUGAUUCACCAAUCGCGUGGACGCAUUUUCCUACCAGGCUAGGAGGGAGG